RNAcentral lists this ribosomal RNA (429 nucleotides) under Actinomycetes bacterium. Its description in RNAcentral is "Actinobacteria bacterium partial 16S ribosomal RNA". It matches the Rfam family "Bacterial small subunit ribosomal RNA", at positions 355 to 776 of the family's 1533-position model. Lineage: Bacteria; Bacillati; Actinomycetota; Actinomycetes. The record is from RNAcentral.
UAGGGAAUCUUCCGCAAUGGGCGAAAGCUUGACGGAGCAACGCCGCGUGAGUGAUGAAGGUCUUCGGAUCGUAAAACUCUGUUAUUAGGGAAGAACAAAUGUGUAAGUAACUAUGCACGUCUUGACGGUACCUAAUCAGAAAGCCACGGCUAACUACGUGCCAGCAGCCGCGGUAAUACGUAGGUGGCAAGCGUUAUCCGGAAUUAUUGGGCGUAAAGCGCGCGUAGGCGGUUUGUUAAGUCUGAUGUGAAAGCCCACGGGUCAACCGUGGAAGGUCAUUGGAAACUGGAAAACUUGAGUGCAGAAGAGGAAAGUGGAAUUCCAUGUGUAGCGGUGAAAUGCGCAGAGAUAUGGAGGAACACCAGUGGCGAAGGCGACUUUCUGGUCUGUAACUGACGCUGAUGUGCGAAAGCGUGGGGAUCAAACAGG